Molecule: long non-coding RNA, 952 nt
Filed under: Pan troglodytes (chimpanzee)
Lineage: Eukaryota; Metazoa; Chordata; Mammalia; Primates; Hominidae
Description: long non-coding RNA NONPTRT002940
Source: RNAcentral
GGCAAAGGCUGCCGGGUGAGAGGCAGGAGGAACAGCGCUAGGAAGGUUUGAGGAGGUGCUGCCCCCAGGAGGGAAGUGGGGUGGCUCCCCAUGGCUUCUCCCGGGGCUGGCACUGAAGCUGGAGCACAGGAUGUGCUGACGGAGGUCCAGAGGCAGAGUCCUUAACUUACUCAGCUUAAGCGUGGCAUGGAGUCCCAACUGGGAGGGGCCCUGGCAGCAUGAAACCCCCACCCCCACUCUCUGCGACGGCCCAGAUGGAGGGCAGGAGGAACAGCGGUUCAGCCCUGGCUGGGGCUGCAGGGGCUGGGGUGUGUUACUCACUGGCACGACGGAGAACUGCAUGAAGAGGCAGGGCAUAAGACCCCAUUCCAGGAGGGUCCUGCUCCAUGCCCAGAAGGAAGGAAUGCUGCUCAGAAAGUUCAAGAAAUCUAGACCAACAGCCCUCGCUGCGCUUCCCCUUGUGGUCCAGGAGCAUUGGUGCAGGUCCCUUGGUUCAUCUGUGUUCCCGCAUGGAUGUCCAUACUUUGUUGAGCCUAAGCAUCAGAAAUGGCAAUUUCCCCCAUAUCUUUUUUUUUUUUUUUUUUUGAGACGGAGUCUUGCUCUGUCACCCAGGCCGAAGUGCAGUGGCGCGAUCUCGGCUCUCUGCAAGCUCCGCCUCCCGGGUUCACGCCAUUCUCCUGCCUCAGCCUCCCGAGUAGCUGGGACUACAGGCGCCCGCCACAGCCCCCGCUAAUUUUUUUGUAUUUUUAGUAGAGACGGAGUUUCACCGUGUUAGCCAGGAUGGUCUCGAUCUCCUGACCUCGUGAUCCGCCCCCCUCGGCCUCCCAAAGUGCUGGGAUUACAGGCUUGAGCCACCGCGCCCAGCCUGUUUCCCCCAUAUCUUUGGGUCUUUGUUCUGAAAACUCCCAUUCACACACGUCAAUAAAUUUGGGGACCAAAUGCCUUUUGUCCA